Molecule: non-coding RNA, 246 nt
Filed under: Clostridiales bacterium
Lineage: Bacteria; Bacillati; Bacillota; Clostridia; Eubacteriales
Description: T-box sequence
Rfam family: T-box leader
About the family: Uncharged tRNA acts as the effector for transcription antitermination of genes in the T-box leader family. T-boxes are found upstream of many aminoacyl-tRNA synthetase genes and some amino acid biosynthetic genes usually in Gram-positive bacteria. The anticodon of a specific tRNA base pairs to a specifier sequence within the T-box motif, and the NCCA acceptor tail of the tRNA base pairs to a conserved bulge in the T-box antiterminator hairpin.
Source: RNAcentral
AACAAACCGUUGAAAAAGAGUAGUAGACGUUAGACCAAAGUCACAGAGAGCUGCAGGUGGUGGGAUUGCAGUAUGGCGGUAUUCGUUGAAUGGACUUUUGAGGGCAGCCUGAAGCGUAAUACAUAGUAGGGUGAGCCGGGAACCAAACCCGUUAUCAAUGAGGCAUGUAUGAUAGUAUGUGAAAGAGAGGACAAUUCGUCAAUUUGAGUGGUACCGCGAUAAUAUGAUAAUAUUACCGUCUCAAGC